UAUGUUUUAGUUUACGAGGAACAGGGAUUUUUGGUGUCUCAGGGGAUAGUCUAAUUCUGUCAAACAUAG
This 69-nucleotide transfer RNA is filed under the name Epicauta tibialis. RNAcentral's name for it is "tRNA-Gln". Lineage: Eukaryota; Metazoa; Arthropoda; Insecta; Coleoptera; Meloidae. The record is from RNAcentral.